This 254-nucleotide ribosomal RNA is filed under the name uncultured bacterium. Its description in RNAcentral is "partial 16S ribosomal RNA". It matches the Rfam family "Bacterial small subunit ribosomal RNA", at positions 524 to 776 of the family's 1533-position model. The record is from RNAcentral.
UACGUAGGGCGCAAGCGUUGUCCGAAAUUAUUGGGCGUAAAGAGCUCGUAGGCGGUCUGUCGCGUCGGUCGUGAAAACUUGGGGCUUAACCCUGAGCUUGCGGUCGAUACGGGCAUGACUGGAGUUCGGUAGGGGAGACUGGAAUUCCUGGUGUAGCGGUGAAAUGCGCAGAUAUCAGGAGGAACACCGGUGGCGAAGGCGGGUCUCUGGGCCGAUACUGACGCUGAGGAGCGAAAGCGUGGGGAGCGAACAGG